RNAcentral lists this ribosomal RNA (620 nucleotides) under Zethalia zelandica. Its description in RNAcentral is "partial 12S ribosomal RNA". The record is from RNAcentral. Lineage: Eukaryota; Metazoa; Mollusca; Gastropoda; Trochida; Trochidae.
GACAAACAGAUCGAGUUAAGAUUAAUUGGUAUUAAAGGAGGUUAGGGUUGAAUAAUUGAAAGGUUGUGUUUUAGUGUAGGGGUGGAAUCUGUACAUUGAUUUAGUACUUAUAACUUUCUUAAUUUGAUGCCUCGAAAUUUUUAUAGAAGACCGGGAUUAGAUACCCCGUUAUUUAAAAUAUAAACGUUAAGUAUUAAGAUAUUUUACCUGAGUAUUACGGGCUAAAGUAAUGAUUAUUUUAAUAGCUUAAAACUCAAAAAACUUGGCGGUGCCUUAAUUCCUUCCAGGGGAACCUGUCCUGUAAAUGAUAGUCCUCGAGUUAGCUUACUUUUCUUUGUAUGGUAUAUCAUAUUAACAGCUUGUAUACCGUCGUCGUCAGACUACCUUUAAAAGUAUAGAAGUUGUCAGGGGAAGAUGAUUAUCAGACUUAUUGUAGUAAAUAAAUUUGAUGCAUAAUUUUUGGAUGUCAGAUCAAGGUGCAGCUUAUAGAAAAGUAGAGAUGGGUUACAAUAUAUAUUUAAUAAAUGGAUUUUAAAUUGUAAUUUUUAAAUGAAAGUGGACUUGGGAGUAAUUAAAUAUCUGAAUUAGUGAGUUUUUAUGAAAAUGGUACUAAGGUGCGU